Molecule: long non-coding RNA, 2471 nt
Organism: Gasterosteus aculeatus aculeatus (three-spined stickleback)
Lineage: Eukaryota; Metazoa; Chordata; Actinopteri; Perciformes; Gasterosteidae
Source: Ensembl
UGUGGGUGUUUUUUCCUUUAAAAGUUUCCACAAAAAAAAUAAAGAAAUUUUCAUAGAUUAUUUUGACAAAGACCACUUUCAGACAGGAUGGCUGGUGUCACCCAGAUGCAGAUACAUGUGGUAUAAUUAAACUCUACAUAAUAAACAUCCACAGCUGAAACUAGAAUACGUCAGUAACUAAUGACAGGGUUAAUAAUUUGAUUCUAAUUCUUUCAUGAGGAAAAAGUAGAGGUUAAAAAAAAAAAAAAAAAAGGUUAAAGUUGCACAGCUACAUUAUGAAAAAUGUUUCAUAGCUCAAUUUUGCAUUUGAUCUCAGAAGCACGGAGAUAGACCCAAAAGCAACGAUCCAACGUACACGGACUCCUCUCAGCUCAAACGACAUCGACCCACAGCUUCAAAACACGCCAAAUGUGGCCGUGCGAUGUGAAGCAGCGGUUUUUGCUGGAUUUGCAGGUUUUUGUAACGACACCGUGGCCGAUGCCUUUCAAGGCCCGUCUCCUCCACUUGAGCUUAGCCGCUCUCAUCUCUCUGUCUCUGCUUGUCCGUUCCAGCGGGUUUGCUUUGGAUGCUCGAGUGCUGCUUUGCGUUGCUUUCCAAAUGUCUGCUGCCUCCUUGCUGCCGUUGGCCUCUUGUGGACAACAAUGCAUUUUAGUGGGGAAGCCCUAACCCCUCACCCUCCAGGGUUACAGCGGGAUCAAACUAAUGGACAGGACUGACACGCGUUCGGCGUGUAAAAUAGAGCAUAAGGCAGUAGAGGCCAAGCGUGUUUUCAGUUGACGUGGGAGAAACAUCCCUUACAGCAGGACACGAGGAUGGACAUGACCUCUGACUGUCCAGUUUGAGUCAGAUGAGUCUUCCAUCACUUUUGUCUUCAGAUGACAGCUUUUACAAAGUGCAUCUCCACGAUUUACUUUGCAACGCGUUAAUAUCAGGACCGCACACAAGUCUCAUUAGAUUUGCAUUUCCUCUGUAAAACUGGAUAAUACAAGUCAAACUAUGGCACAGCAGUUUUGUGGUGUGUGUGUGUGUGUGUGUGUUUGUGUUAACCCCUGUUCAAACACACUGUGUGGUAGUGUGGGUGUGGCGUUACACCUCGCGUGGCACUGGGCAGCUAAGAUAAGAGCUGAUCCUAUCCAUGCCUCCCUUCUGCAGCGCCCGCCCCCACACACACAAACACACACACACAUCUAGUGUGGUACCCAACAUGCCAUUGUAAUCUCAUUUUACAAUCCUGAUGCCCACAGCCGCAAAACACACAGAGAAGCCAACUAAAUCCAGAUGUCACGCGUACACUACGCUGGAGGGCUACGGUGAUACGGGAGGUCACAUGGUGGAGCCGGCGCCACGUCCACCACGGCUUCAAGUCUCCCUCUCUCUCUGUCCAUCUUCGCUUGCAAUGUCCAAUUAAUCAGAAAGAGUGCAUUUUCCCACAACUAUUGAUAAAAGAAAGAUGUGACGGGCUCAGAAAUAUUCAGGCCCAAAGCAGCGUCACUCAUUCACUAACACAUCAGGUCCAGAGUGAAAACACAUUCAGACGAUAAAAGCCUUUUUCUUCUUCUUCUAGACCGCACGACAAAACUACAGAACCACACAAGAGAGAAAACUAUCCUCCAGGAGGGGAGGAGAGGGAGCGCUUACCUUCCCUCCUCUGGGAGAUAGAGUUACCAUUGGGUACAAACUGCUCUCCUAAUUCACCAAGACUUUCAGUGAUGCACACACACGCACACACACACACACACACACACGCAAGCACGCACACACACACACACACACACACACGCACGCACACGCACCUUCUGGUCUCCAGUUCAUUACCACUUUCUGCCUACUGUUACCUAUCCUAUACUAAAAGGAGGAUGUUAUAUUCUUUUUCAGAUAAAAAUGGACCAAAUAAACCACAUGAGGUUUGAUACGAAAUAUUGUGCAAUGAAUUACGGAUCUAAAGACGGUGAAACCUGGUUCCAGUGGUCCAGGCCACGGUUAUUGGGCUCAUCUCAGGCGUGGUGAGGCUCUCACACACACACACACACACACACACACACACACCUUUGUGUUGUAUGCACACACACCAUCAAACUCCAACAGAGACACAACUCCCCUUUCAUUCAAAAUUGUCUCAUUUUCUCACAUUUUCAAAACGCAGAAAAUUAAUAACAUUAAUAAUAAAAACAUGUUUUCUCAAGUAUGAAAUUUGUUUGACAGCCGCCCGGUCCGUGUGCGUGUGCGUGUGUGUGUGUGGGGGCGGGCUGAGUGCAAGUUUAGCCGAAAGUGUUUUCUACUUGAUAUUUAAAUGCUGCCCUGUGAAGAACUAACAGCCACAUUAAAACAAAUGAGCACCUGCAGUCGCGGCCACAGAUGUAUGUGGGUGUUUUUUCCUUUAAAAGUUUCCACAAAAAAAAUAAAGAAAUUUUCAUAGAUUAUUUUGACAAAGACCACUUUCAGACAGGAUGGCUGGUGUCACCCAGAUGCAG